RNAcentral lists this transfer RNA (72 nucleotides) under Satanoperca jurupari (demon eartheater). Its description in RNAcentral is "tRNA-Gln". It matches the Rfam family "tRNA". Rfam says of the family: Transfer RNA (tRNA) molecules are approximately 80 nucleotides in length. Lineage: Eukaryota; Metazoa; Chordata; Actinopteri; Cichliformes; Cichlidae. The record is from RNAcentral.
UAGGAAGUGGUGUAGUGGAAGCACAAAGAGUCUUGAUCUCUUUAGGUAGGGGUUCGAGUCCCUUCUUUCUAG